AAUCAACGCUGGCGGCGUGCCUCAGACAUGCAAGUCGAACGAUUAAAGCUCUCUUCGGAGAGUGUAUAGAGUGGCGCACGGGUGAGUAACACGUAAGUAAUCUACCCUCGAGUGGGGAAUAACAACCGGAAACGGUUGCUAAUACCGCAUAAUGCAGCGGCACCGCAAGGUGACAGUUGUUAAAGAUUUAUCGCUUGAGGAGGAGCUUGCGGCAGAUUAGCUAGUUGGUAGGGUAACGGCUUACCAAGGCUACGAUCUGUAACCGGUCUAAGAGGACGGUCGGUCACACUGACACUGAAUAACGGGUCAGACUCCUACGGGAGGCAGCAGUCGGGAAUUUUGGGCAAUGGGCGAAAGCCUGACCCAGCAACGCCGCGUGAAGGAUGAAGUAUUUCGGUAUGUAAACUUCGAAAGAGUAGGAAGAAUUAAUGACGGUACUAUUUAUAAGGCCCGGCUAACUACGUG
Molecule: ribosomal RNA, 465 nt
Filed under: uncultured bacterium
Lineage: Bacteria
Description: bacterial SSU rRNA
Rfam family: Bacterial small subunit ribosomal RNA
Source: RNAcentral